UAGCCUCAUUUCAAAUGGAGUUCUUCAAAAUAAAAUAAAAACCUUCCUCAUAACACUUGAUCGAAUACCUCAUCAAGAAGCAGAAUGGUACCAUAACCGCAGAAUUUAUUAAUUAUUUGUUCAAUAAUAGAGUGUAAUUGCACUGCAGCUCACAAACAUACAUUUUUGCAAUCUCACAGAGCUUCUCACUUUUAUUCAUAAGAUGAUUACAUCCCCAAGUGUAACAGAAUACAUUUCUAAAUGCUUUAAUUUGAGACACCACCACCUUUUGGAGGGGUGUUGGCAAACUUCCAUGACAAGUAGCUCAUGCUCUCAUAAGUUCUAUCUCCUGCUACCUCUUCGAUUGGUACAGCAGCAGCAAUUUCUUUCAGCUCUUCUUCUGUAAGUUUCACCUUCAGGGAGCCAAGGUUCUCGUCCAGGUUCUUGAUCUUAGUGGUCCCAGGAAUAGGCACAACAUCAUCCCCUUGUUGGAGAACCCAAGCUAAUGCUAGCUGAGAAGGAGAGCAUUGAUACUUCUUAGUAAGGUUUUCCAAUCGACUGUAUAUCCUUCUGUUUUUGUCCAAGUUCUCUGCUCGAAAUCUAGGAUGUCCAACCAAGCUGCUAUUUGCAGGCAAACUUUCCAUAAUUGCUUUACCAGCAAAAAAACCACGACCAAGAGGACUGUAUGGAACAAUUCCAAUACCAAGAUCCCUGCAAAGGGGAAUAAUCUCUUCCUCGAUAUCACGAGUCCAAAGAGACCACUCCAUUUGUACAGCUGUGAUGGGGUGAACAGCAUGUGCCCUCCUUAUUGUGUCUGGACUGGCUUCAGAUAGCCCAAUGUGCUUGAUUUUUCCUUCUUCCACCAGUUUUUUAAGUUCACUCAUAGUUUCCUCAAUAGGCACAGAAGUGUCAACUCGAUGCUGAUAAUACAGAUCAAUGUAAUCCACACCUAGGCGCUUCAAGCUAGCCUCACAACAUGAGCGUACAUACUCAGGGGUACCCUUAACUAUCAUAUGAGGAAAUUCCAUUUUAAAAACACCAAACUUAGUGGCUAACUGAAUUUUUUCUCUUGGUAACUGCUUCAAGGCCUUUCCCACCAAAAUUUCAUUAGUAUGGGGUCCGUAUAUAUCUGCCGUAUCAAAAAACGUGAUUCCUUUGUUGAAGGCAUCCCUCAAUAUAGAGAUUCCAUCUUCAUCUGAGACAGGAGUAUUAUAGACCCCAGUUAGGCCCAUACAUCCAAACCCCAGCUUUGAGACCUAAUUAUGAGAACAAGCGCUGAGAAAUUAAAAUCAAUCAGCACCUAUCCCUUGCACGCAUGAGAAGAAAACCCUCCAAUCAAAGUUCAACAGACAACAAAGAGCACAUAGACACCCGAUGGUUUGUCUUUACAAAGGGUAGCGUGUAUCACUUCAAUUCAAAAUGUUAGAUGUAUUAUAGACAGGGUCAUAUAUGCUUAAAGAUCAUGUCAUAAAAGUAAAGACUCAAUCUUUUGGCAAAUGUCUCUAAUGUCUGUCUGCACUCAGAGGAUGCUUUAGAAAUUUAAGGAGCUUUUUGGUCAAUUGCACUACCACCUCCACAAGUGGAUCAGAUCAACAAGUCCCAUAAAACCAAUCGGACACAGAACUGUUAUAAAUUUACAUUCUUGCAAGCUUUAUCAGAAAAUUCAGAUGGGAUUUCAAAGAAAUGUAGCUUUACCUCAAGUCCUUGGCUCCCCAGUUUCACCCUUGGAACUUGCAAGCUCAUCUCCGCUGCCAUCGUUUGGCUGGAAUAUUCUUGGGAAAAUGUUGUUCUUUUGGCUCAAAUUGUUAGACAUUAUGUAGUAGGUGAGUGAGGGAAAGUGAAUAUGUCAUGAAUGAUGUAGUAGGUGAGCGCCAGUCAGCACCCCUUCCUUUGGAUUGGGAGAAAGCGGGAGAGGGUAAAAGACUAU
RNAcentral lists this unclassified non-coding RNA (1906 nucleotides) under Hevea brasiliensis (rubber tree). The record is from RNAcentral. Lineage: Eukaryota; Viridiplantae; Streptophyta; Magnoliopsida; Malpighiales; Euphorbiaceae.